Cannabis sativa is the source of this 365-nucleotide long non-coding RNA. RefSeq lists it as uncharacterized. The record is from RefSeq and is a predicted model, not a curated record. NCBI's taxonomy places the organism in Eukaryota, Viridiplantae, Streptophyta, Magnoliopsida, Rosales, Cannabaceae. The transcript is spliced from 3 exons.
ACGCUCUUUUCUUUAUCACCAGGUAAGAUUACUUGUUGGUGUACUCAAAGCCGUUGGCACCGGAGAUAUAACAAUAGCUGAUGUUGAAAGGAUUCUGAACGCGAGGAGUGUGAAUGCGGCGAGUCCAAUGGCGCCUGCGUGCGGUCUCUACCUCGGACAAGUGAAAUAUGAUCUGCCAUGAGAGAUGACUUUAGAGCCUUCUCUUCUUGAUGGUCAUCAAUAAGUAUAGAUCCUUGUAUUGAAUUGAGCUUGAAAUUUUUAUUGGUUAGCAUAGAACUAGAACAAGUAUUCUUUAGUACCACCAUGUUUGGUUUGGUACCAAAUUCUUAUUUAAACAUUUUGAUAAAUCAAUUCAUCAUUAUUGA